UUGCACAAUGGGCGCAAGCCUGAUGCAGCGACGCCGCGUGUGGGAUGAAGGGGCUACGCCUCGUAAACCACUGUAGACCGGGACGAAAAACGCCUUAGAGGCGUUAGACGGUACCGGGAAAGUAAGGGUCGGCUAACUACGUGCCAGCAGCCGCGGUAAUACGUAGGACCCAAGCGUUGUCCGGAUUUACUGGGUGUAAAGGGUGCGCAGGCGGAUGGGUAAGUCAGGGGUGAAAGUCUGCAGCUUAACUGUAGAAGUGCCAUUGAUACUGCUCAUCUUGAGUGUGGGUGAGGUUGAUGGAAUUCCAGGUGUAGCAGUGAAAUGCGUAGAUAUCUGGAAGAACACCAGUGGCGAAGGCGGUCAACUGGCCCAUAACUGACGCGCAUGCACGAAAGCGUGGGGAGCAAACA
Molecule: ribosomal RNA, 410 nt
Filed under: uncultured bacterium
Lineage: Bacteria
Description: bacterial SSU rRNA
Rfam family: Bacterial small subunit ribosomal RNA
Source: RNAcentral